RNAcentral lists this ribosomal RNA (617 nucleotides) under Hydrocina chaetocladia. RNAcentral's name for it is "eukaryotic LSU rRNA". The stretch from base 279 to 433 matches the Rfam family "5.8S ribosomal RNA". Lineage: Eukaryota; Fungi; Ascomycota; Leotiomycetes; Helotiales. The record is from RNAcentral.
UAAAAAGUCGUAAACAAAGGUUUCCGUAGGUGAACCUGCGGAAGGAUCAUUAACGAUUCAACCACGUGGGGCCGUCGUCCGCGGCGCCGUGCAGUGUUUUUGGUGCUCGCGUCCCGCGUCUCGCGGUGACGCCAGUCCACACUCACACCCUAUGUCUACGUACCUUUGUUGCUUUGGUGGGCCGCGGCCUGCGCUGCGGGCCUCGCGCUACGCACGUGCCCGCCAGAGAACCCAACUCUUGAUUUUAGUGAUGUCUGAGUACUAUAUUUAAUAGUUAAAACUUUCAACAACGGAUCUCUUGGUUCUGGCAUCGAUGAAGAACGCAGCGAAAUGCGAUAAGUAAUGUGAAUUGCAGAAUUCAGUGAAUCAUCGAAUCUUUGAACGCACACUUGCGCCCGCUGGUAUUCCGGCGGGGAUGCCUGUUCGAGCGUCAUUAUGACCAACUCACGCUUCUGCGUGGUCCUGGGGUCCGCUGUCACGGCGGCCCUUUAAACCCAGUGGCGGUGCCGUGCCCCUCCUCCACGGGUAGUAACUUAUCUCGCUACAGGUCCGUCUUGGAGUCGUCCAACAACCCCAACUAUUUCUAGGUUGACCUCGGAUCAGGUAGGGAUACCCGC